UAACUUUCCUACUCCUUCGAGUACGAGAUUCCUUCGAGAAAUAAUUAAUAUUGCUACGGUCAUUUUUUAGUCAAAUAUUUAGACGACACAUAAUAAUAAUAAACUUUACAAGUGUUACCAUUACUUAUCCGCUACUGCAAAAGAAAUAAAUUUCACAAAAACAGAUAAUUUGCGUCGACACAUAAGGGCGAAGCACUUAUUUUUCUUUACUAGAUCUCAAGAGCAUACGUAUAGGCGAAAAACAAUAUAUUUGCAAGUAUUAUAGAUGGCCAUCGAUGGCUUUCGAUUAACAAUAUCUCUGUAUCCAUUGCUAGGAGGAAGAAUGGGGAUAUGCGUUCCAUCAAUUGCUCCAAUUAAUUGGGGAAUAUAUAAUUAACUCAAAAACAGCAGCUAUUUUAUGACACUCAUCAUUAUCAGCACAAUUUUCAUACAUGAUUGUACUGAUGAUAUAAAUAGUUCAUUAAUAUUAGAAGAUAAGGUUGAAGUAGAAAAUGUAAUAAAGAUUGGGAUGAAGAUGGAGAUGAAGACAAGGCUCGUGAUGGUAAUGAUGAUAAUGGUAAUAAUGGUUUCAGCAACUCAUUGUCAGAUAAAAUAGGCGUAAAAAAAAAGAGCCAAUCAGUCAAUGAGAUGCUUAUAAAACAGCAGAAAAAUGGAUCCACUACGAUAACCCAAAGAAGAAGAAAUCAUGGAGAUA
This is a long non-coding RNA of Trachymyrmex septentrionalis, 694 nucleotides long. RefSeq lists it as uncharacterized. The record is from RefSeq and is a predicted model, not a curated record. Lineage: Eukaryota; Metazoa; Arthropoda; Insecta; Hymenoptera; Formicidae. The transcript is spliced from 4 exons.